Molecule: long non-coding RNA, 379 nt
Filed under: Gossypium barbadense (sea-island cotton)
Lineage: Eukaryota; Viridiplantae; Streptophyta; Magnoliopsida; Malvales; Malvaceae
Description: long non-coding RNA (GBAR_LNC017105)
Source: RNAcentral
ACAUUCCAUUAGCUCAUAAAUCAUGACAAAGAUUAAAUCUCUCUAUAUCUAUGAAAGAAAGAAUAAUAAAAAAAGAUUUCUUUUUUAUUCUUUAUUGUUUCUUUUUCGUUCCUAUUAUGCUUUCGGAUCUGAUAAAACCACGAAUGGGGCUUAAACUAAAAAAUAGUAAAGGAUUAUUUCGUUCCUGAUAGUCAUUACUUUAACCGGCAGAUAGGAGGAUACUAUUGACCGGAAUCAUGGGGAGUACUGCCUAGUCAUUUCUACGAAUUUAAAGCCCUAAUUAGUAUUCUUUUUAUGUUAUCCAGAAGUCUCUUUUUAUAUAAUUUACAUAAUCUCCAUUACCAAUCUUUUAUGUAUUUUGGUGUUCCUAACCAUCCAC